AGGACAACUGGUAUUUAGACUUUGGACUGAUUUCAGCAUUGUUUGUUGGAUUUAGGAUUGUUUCCUUCAUCAUUCUUGUUAUACGAGCCAAAAGAUCUAGUGCUUAAGUAUUAAAACAAUUCCUAUUUGAGAUGGUUGUGUGCCAGUGAUUAGAAAUAAAAUAUGCGAUUGGAGAAAAUUUCCUGAAAUUCCUGAAUUUAUAUACUUAGAUAGUACAUUUUCUAUGAGGAGCAAAUUCACAGAUUUUGUAAUUCAUUAGUACCAUCAAUACUAAUACUCAACAAGAGGCAUGUACUUCAUUGACUUGAUUAAUGUCUGAGACUAGAGAUUGAAAAAC
Molecule: long non-coding RNA, 337 nt
Filed under: Mytilus galloprovincialis (Mediterranean mussel)
Lineage: Eukaryota; Metazoa; Mollusca; Bivalvia; Mytilida; Mytilidae
Source: RNAcentral